GGGGAUAUGGCUCAGUUAGUAGAGUGUUUGUCUCACAUGUACAAGGCCCUGGGUUCAAUCCCUAGCAACACUA
Ictidomys tridecemlineatus (thirteen-lined ground squirrel) is the source of this 73-nucleotide non-coding RNA. The record is from Rfam. Lineage: Eukaryota; Metazoa; Chordata; Mammalia; Rodentia; Sciuridae.